ACCUGGUGUUAGAAUUGCUUUGUACUACAGCACUCUUGUUGCAAUAAUGUCGCUUAUCCCUCCUCUGUCUUACUGUGAAAUAGAUUUUUCAUUAUUAACAGUUGAUCCAUGGUCAAAAUCACCAUGUAGUUCAAUGUGGGAUUUGAAGUUGGAAAGAUAUUCCCUUCUGGAGUCUGUCCAAAAAGCUGCAAAAGAAUAUCAUUUACUUAGGCACUAUGACUUUUG
Molecule: unclassified non-coding RNA, 225 nt
Filed under: Hevea brasiliensis (rubber tree)
Lineage: Eukaryota; Viridiplantae; Streptophyta; Magnoliopsida; Malpighiales; Euphorbiaceae
Source: RNAcentral